RNAcentral lists this ribosomal RNA (1623 nucleotides) under Erwinia amylovora. RNAcentral's name for it is "bacterial LSU rRNA". It matches the Rfam family "Bacterial large subunit ribosomal RNA", at positions 1223 to 2826 of the family's 2925-position model. Lineage: Bacteria; Pseudomonadati; Pseudomonadota; Gammaproteobacteria; Enterobacterales; Erwiniaceae. The record is from RNAcentral.
GUUGGGUAGGGGAGCGUUCUGUAAGCCGUCGAAGGUGUGCUGUGAGGCAUGCUGGAGGUAUCAGAAGUGCGAAUGCUGACAUAAGUAACGAUAAAGCGGGUGAAAAGCCCGCUCGCCGGAAGACCAAGGGUUCCUGUCCAACGUUAAUCGGGGCAGGGUGAGUCGACCCCUAAGGCGAGGCCGAAAGGCGUAGUCGAUGGGAAACGGGUUAAUAUUCCCGUACUGGGUGUUACUGCGAAGGGGGGACGGAGAAGGCUAUGUUAGCCGGGCGACGGUUGUCCCGGUUUAAGCGUGCAGGCUUGAGUUCCAGGCAAAUCCGGAACUCUUUAAGGCUGAGGCGUGAUGACGAGGCACCACGGUGCUGAAGUAACAAAUGCCCUGCUUCCAGGAAAAGCCUCUAAGCAUCAGGUAACAUCCAAUCGUACCCCAAACCGACACAGGUGGUCAGGUAGAGAAUACCAAGGCGCUUGAGAGAACUCGGGUGAAGGAACUAGGCAAAAUGGUGCCGUAACUUCGGGAGAAGGCACGCUGGCGCGUAGGUGAAGCGACUUGCUCGUGGAGCUGAAGCCAGUCGAAGAUACCAGCUGGCUGCAACUGUUUAUUAAAAACACAGCACUGUGCAAACACGAAAGUGGACGUAUACGGUGUGACGCCUGCCCGGUGCCGGAAGGUUAAUUGAUGGGGUUAUCCGCAAGGAGAAGCUCUUGAUCGAAGCCCCGGUAAACGGCGGCCGUAACUAUAACGGUCCUAAGGUAGCGAAAUUCCUUGUCGGGUAAGUUCCGACCUGCACGAAUGGCGUAAUGAUGGCCAGGCUGUCUCCACCCGAGACUCAGUGAAAUUGAACUCGCUGUGAAGAUGCAGUGUACCCGCGGCAAGACGGAAAGACCCCGUGAACCUUUACUACAGCUUGACACUGAACAUUGAGCCUUGAUGUGUAGGAUAGGUGGGAGGCUUUGAAGCGUGGACGCCAGUCUGCGUGGAGCCAACCUUGAAAUACCACCCUUUAACGUUUGAUGUUCUAACCUGGCGCCGUUACCCGGCGUGGGGACAGUGUCUGGUGGGUAGUUUGACUGGGGCGGUCUCCUCCCAAAGAGUAACGGAGGAGCACGAAGGUCAGCUAAUCACGGUCGGACAUCGUGAGGUUAGUGCAAUGGCAUAAGCUGGCUUGACUGCGAGAGUGACGGCUCGAGCAGGUGCGAAAGCAGGUCAUAGUGAUCCGGUGGUUCUGAAUGGAAGGGCCAUCGCUCAACGGAUAAAAGGUACUCCGGGGAUAACAGGCUGAUACCGCCCAAGAGUUCAUAUCGACGGCGGUGUUUGGCACCUCGAUGUCGGCUCAUCACAUCCUGGGGCUGAAGUAGGUCCCAAGGGUACGGCUGUUCGCCGUUUAAAGUGGUACGCGAGCUGGGUUUAGAACGUCGUGAGACAGUUCGGUCCCUAUCUGCCGUGGGCGCUGGAAGAUUGAGAGGGGUUGCUCCUAGUACGAGAGGACCGGAGUGAACGCACCGCUGGUGUUCGGGUUGUCAUGCCAAUGGCAUUGCCCGGUAGCUAAGUGCGGAAAAGAUAAGCGCUGAAAGCAUCUAAGCGCGAAACUUGCCUCGAGAUGAAUCUUCCCUGACUCCUUGA